GGUGGCUCAGUGGUAGAGUACUUGCCUUGCAUGCAUGAGGCCCUGGGUUCAAUUCCUCAGUACCA
Molecule: non-coding RNA, 65 nt
Organism: Dipodomys ordii (Ord's kangaroo rat)
Lineage: Eukaryota; Metazoa; Chordata; Mammalia; Rodentia; Heteromyidae
Source: Rfam